GGGUUAAGUCCGCAACGAGCGCAACCCUCGCCCUUAGUUGCCAGCAUUUAGUUGGGCACUCUAAGGAGACUGCCGGUGACAAACCGGAGGAAGGUGGGGAUGACGUCAAGUCAUCAUGGCCCUUACGGCCUGGGCUACACACGUGCUACAAUGGUCGGUACAAAGGGUUGCCAAGCCGCGAGGUGGAGCUAAUCCCAUAAAACCGAUCGUAGUCCGGAUCGCAGUCUGCAACUCGACUGCGUGAAGUCGGAACCGCUAGUAAUCGUGAAUCAGAAUGUCACGGUGAAUACGUUCCCGGGCCUU
Molecule: ribosomal RNA, 303 nt
Filed under: uncultured Pseudomonas sp.
Lineage: Bacteria; Pseudomonadati; Pseudomonadota; Gammaproteobacteria; Pseudomonadales; Pseudomonadaceae
Description: bacterial SSU rRNA
Rfam family: Bacterial small subunit ribosomal RNA
Source: RNAcentral